GAUGAAGACCGUAGCGAAAUGCGAUAAGUAAUGCGAAUUGCAGAAUCCGUGAGUCAUCGAAUCUUUGAACGCACAUUGCGCCCUCUGGUAUUCCGGAGGGCAUGCCUGUUCGAGCGUCAUUAUCACCCCUCAAGCCCGGCUUGUUGUUGGAUGCAGCGCUUAUCCCGCUCCUCCCAAAGAUAAUGACGGCGUCUGCGACGACUCCUGUACACUGAGCUUUCGGGCACGUACACGGCUAGAAGUCCAGACCCGGUCGCCGUCCCCCCCGCGGGGACACCCAUUACCACAAGGUUGACCUCGGAUCAGGUAGGAAUACCCGCUGAACUUAAGCAUAUCAAUAAGCGGAGGA
Molecule: unclassified non-coding RNA, 349 nt
Filed under: soil metagenome
Description: partial contains 5.8S ribosomal RNA, internal transcribed spacer 2, and large subunit ribosomal RNA
Rfam family: 5.8S ribosomal RNA (bases 1-119)
Source: RNAcentral